UACGAAGGGGGCUAGCGUUGCUCGGAAUUACUGGGCGUAAAGGGCGCGUAGGCGGCACUGUUAGUCAGGGGUGAAAUCCCGGGGCUCAACCCCGGAACUGCCCUUGAAACUGGAGAGCUAGAAUCUUGGAGAGGCGAGUGGAAUUCCGAGUGUAGAGGUGAAAUUCGUAGAUAUUCGGAAGAACACCAGUGGCGAAGGCGACUCGCUGGACAAGUAUUGACGCUGAGGUGCGAAAGCGUGGGGAGCAAACAGG
This 253-nucleotide ribosomal RNA is filed under the name uncultured bacterium. RNAcentral describes it as "partial 16S ribosomal RNA". It matches the Rfam family "Bacterial small subunit ribosomal RNA", at positions 524 to 776 of the family's 1533-position model. The record is from RNAcentral.